UGCAGAGUUGAUGACUCUGGGCGUAAAUCAACGACCCUGUAACGAUCUAACUAUUCUAAGGUUGUAAGAUAGAUCGAUACCAAGCAGCAUAUCUCCUUCCUUGACCUUCUGGUGUGCUGCGCUGAUAACCGUGAAGAGUUUACGGCUACUGAAUCGUGAUGGCUGUGUUGUUCGUGAAAGCCGACCAGAAAGUUUGGCAGAAGCAUGGGGAAGCUGUCAAGCUGACAGAAGAAACGUUCGUGCAUCAUUCUGCCCGGCGACCAGUUCCGAAAGUCGCUGCACAAGACAUGAACAGUGUGCGCUGUGUGAGCGGGUGGUUGUGACACAAGGAGUCGCGGUGGUGGCAAAAGGAAGGUGAAAUGCAGUCGCCAGCUGUAUGAAGGGUCACUGCUAAAUGUCACAAGCUUGCGAAGAUGACAGGUGCGCCUGUCUUUUGUCAGUGACAUUUCUCAACAUAGCUGGCCAGGUGCCAACCCUAUGAAAGAAAGCAGUCGAAACCUAAGCAGUUGGACUUAUCUGGCGCCAGUCUUGAUCUGGCCCAUUCAGAUCUUAUCCGCUAUCGUUGCUAUAAGAGAACAUUAUUUUGUGGGUGCACAUCCAGUGCAUUUGCAGAUUUGCGUGCUCCUCUUGCGACCGCAUACACUUGGUACAUGGUGUGUGUGUGCGUGCGCAUGCGGUGAGCACACACGGGUGAGCGGAUUCAAUAUUGUGUUGGUGUGUGCAUGCGGGCGAGUAUAUUCACAUGCUGAUGCUGGUUCUACACAUAUCAUUGUGUUGCGAGUGGGCAG
Molecule: long non-coding RNA, 788 nt
Organism: Sycon ciliatum
Lineage: Eukaryota; Metazoa; Porifera; Calcarea; Leucosolenida; Sycettidae
Exons: 3
Source: RefSeq, a predicted model, not a curated record